This 607-nucleotide long non-coding RNA is filed under the name Cyanistes caeruleus (blue tit). RNAcentral's name for it is "lncRNA (ENSCCEG00000003581.1)". Lineage: Eukaryota; Metazoa; Chordata; Aves; Passeriformes; Paridae. The record is from RNAcentral.
CAAGGAUCUCCCUGGAUGUGGCACUCAGUGCUCUGGACUAGGUGACAAGGUGGGGAUUGGUCUUGGGUUGGAUGAUCUUGGAGGUCUUUUCCAACCCAAAUGGUCCUGUGAUUCUGUGAUCACUGCAGGCUGAAUUGCAGCUGAGGUCUACCCGUGGUCAGUGAACACCAUGAAGCAUCUCACACUUUCCAUUCUGGAAUCACACAUCUCUGAUAAUCCCUGCAGGCACCAAACAGUCUGAGAUGUCGAGAGUUACCCCAGCAUGGCUGCUUCUGGACUUUUCUGCUGCGGAGGACCUGAAGAAGCUCACAGAUGAGACAGAGCCUUUUCCAGAGAAAAUUCAGGAGACAUUUUGGCCUCGUAAGAAGCCUUAAGCUCUUCAGAGGAAGAUGCUAAGGGAAGUGGUGAAGUGACAACUCCUGUCUCCUCUCCUUAAUCCUGUCAGCCUUGGGAUUUCAACAUGAGCUGCUGAGAUGGGAGCAUCAUCUUGAUUUGGAGCUCCAGUCCAGGUGGGUGUUGAACAUGCCAGGUGUAGCAGCCUGGGUUCAGCAGGGAUUAUUUAAACAUGGCAGGCUUUUAAUUCUGGGGAUGCCUUUAAGCUGAGAGG